Molecule: long non-coding RNA, 723 nt
Organism: Camelus dromedarius (Arabian camel)
Lineage: Eukaryota; Metazoa; Chordata; Mammalia; Artiodactyla; Camelidae
Exons: 3
Source: RefSeq, a predicted model, not a curated record
GUUCCCGGCGCCCCGCCUUCCCUGAAGCCCAUAAAAGCACACGUCCCUGCCUAGGCAGCAACUGGACACCUGCAUCUUCCGACAAGACUGGAAGCAGGUGAGGCACACAGGGGAAGGGCCAAAGCCGCGUGGGGGAGGGGUGGUCUGAGGCACCAGGAUCCCCGUGGCUGGGGCUGGUUUACAGGUCAGCUCAUGGACAUUUUCCGAGAAAGUGACAAAGACUGAGAAGUUUGACGGUCCGGAAAACAGACCAACCACGCUGACUACCUAGGAGCACCGAGACUAUGGACAGCGCCCCUCGGGGUCCAGGAAGGGAACCGCGAUCUGCUUCAGCGCCAGGGCUCCGGACAGCUCCUGAGGGUUCUCGGAGCCGACUUCAUUUCAGAACCAGAACAAUGGACAGCUUCCCUGGUACCGGGAAGUCCUUGCACCCUGAUGGGGGAACAGAAGGUGGUCUGAAGUGUCUGACGUUUCUGGAGACUGCCCCUCACUUAAUGGAUUUUUCAACGAAUUAUUUUCCAGAUAAGCAGGGUGCCCAAUGGCUCACUCUGCCUUCUCAUCCAAGUCUCAUCUCAUCAAGGGAAACGUUCUUUGCUGCCUCACCAUCCCCCAUGUCAAGUCUACCUUACACAUUCGCACAGAUCUUCUCCCCAGCACUUAGUCUAGUUUUGUUGUUGUUGUUGUUGUUGUUGUUGUUGUUGUUAUCUAUUUACCGGGCUGUCU